GACGAACGCUGGCGGCGCGCCUAACACAUGCAAGUCGAACGGAGCGCAGCUGAAGAUUUCCUUCGGGGAUGAUUCAGCUGUUGCUUAGUGGCGAACGGGUGAGUAACACGUGAAUAACCUGCCCCGGAGUGGGGGACAACAUCUGGAAACAGAUGCUAAUACCGCAUAAGACCACAGUACCGCAUGGUACAGUGGCCAAAGGAGCAAUUCGCGCUGGGAUGGAUUCGCGUCCAAUUAGCUAGAUGGUGGGGUAACGGCUCACCAUGGCGACGAUUGGUAGCCGGACUGAGAGGUUGAUCGGCCACAUUGGGACUGAGACACGGCCCAGACUCCUACGGGAGGCAGCAGUGGGGAAUAUUGCACAAUGGACGAAAGUCUGAUGCAGCGACGCCGCGUGAGGGAAGAAGGUUUUCGGAUUGUAAACCUCUGUCUUCGGGGACGAAACAAAUGACGGUACCCGGAGAGGAAGCCACGGCUAACUACGUGCCAGCCGCCGCAGUAA
RNAcentral lists this ribosomal RNA (502 nucleotides) under uncultured bacterium. RNAcentral's name for it is "partial 16S ribosomal RNA". It matches the Rfam family "Bacterial small subunit ribosomal RNA", at positions 28 to 523 of the family's 1533-position model. The record is from RNAcentral.